RNAcentral lists this transfer RNA (80 nucleotides) under Bos taurus (domestic cattle). It matches the Rfam family "tRNA". From Rfam's summary of the family: Transfer RNA (tRNA) molecules are approximately 80 nucleotides in length. Their secondary structure includes four short double-helical elements and three loops (D, anti-codon, and T loops). RNAcentral also lists the same sequence under 4 other names. The record is from Rfam by way of RNAcentral. Lineage: Eukaryota; Metazoa; Chordata; Mammalia; Artiodactyla; Bovidae.
UCCCCAGUGGCUCAGUGGUAAAGAAUCUGCCUGCAAUGCAGGAGACACAGAAGACCUGGGUUCUAUCCCUGGGUGGGGAA